RNAcentral lists this ribosomal RNA (610 nucleotides) under uncultured bacterium. RNAcentral describes it as "bacterial SSU rRNA". It matches the Rfam family "Bacterial small subunit ribosomal RNA", at positions 52 to 638 of the family's 1533-position model. The record is from RNAcentral.
CACAUGCAAGUCGAACGAAGCUCCCGGACUUGAGUUUUCGGACAAGAUGAAGGGAUGACUUAGUGGCGGACGGGUGAGUAAUGCGUGAGCAACCUGCCCUUCAGAGGGGGACAACAGCUGGAAACGGCUGCUAAUACCGCAUAAUGUAUUCGGAAGGCAUCUUCUGAAUACCAAAGAUUUAUCGCUGAAGGAUGGGCUCACGUCUGAUUAGCUAGUUGGUGAGGUAAUGGCUCACCAAGGCUGUGAUACGUAGCCGACCUGAGAGGGUGAUCGGCCACACUGGAACUGAGACACGGUCCAGACUCCUACGGGAGGCAGCAGUAGGGAAUCUUCCACAAUGGGCGAAAGCCUGAUGGAGCAAUACCGCGUGAGUGAAGAAGGUCUUCGGAUCGUAAAGCUCUGUUGUUAGAGAAGAACAAGAGGUGUAGUAACUGGCACCUCCUUGACGGUAUCUAACCAGAAAGUCGCGGCUAACUACGUGCCAGCAGCCGCGGUAAUACGUAGGUGACAAGCGUUGUCCGGAUUUAUUGGGCGUAAAGCGAGCGCAGGCGGUCUUUAAGUCUGAUGUGAAAGCCCACGGCUCACCGUGGAGGGUCAUUGGAAACUGGAA